RNAcentral lists this long non-coding RNA (220 nucleotides) under Amborella trichopoda. RNAcentral describes it as "long non-coding RNA (ATRI_LNC002868)". The record is from RNAcentral. Lineage: Eukaryota; Viridiplantae; Streptophyta; Magnoliopsida; Amborellales; Amborellaceae.
CGAUAUUAAAAAAUCCUACAAUCUUUUCAUUGGGAAAAAAAAUGAAUUUUAAGUACUAAAUAUAAUACAUCUUCUAGCAUAUUAUCUAGACAAAUCAUUAUCAACUAUUUGGAACCGACAACAUGAGCCAUGUUUCAUCAUUAUGCUCUAUCAAAAAUGCCAUCAAUCGGACUAAAAAACAUCAUAUCUUAUCCCACUACUUCCAGCCAUAUCUUUUGAC